CGAACGCUGGCGGCGUGCUUAACACAUGCAAGUCGAGCGAUGAAGUUUCUUCGGAAAUGGAUUAGCGGCGAACGGGUGAGGAACACGUGAAGAAUCUGCCCUCCACUUUGGGAUAACACCGGGAAACCGGUGCUAAUACCGAAUAUUGAGACAUAAGUGGCAUCACUGAGUUUUUGAAAGAAUUUCGGUGGAGGAUGACUUCGCGGCCUAUCAGCUAGUUGGUGAGGUAAUGGCUCACCAAGGCAACGACGGGUAGCCGGCCUGAGAGGGCGACCGGCCACACUGGGACUGAGACACGGCCCAGACUCCUACGGGAGGCAGCAGUGGGGAAUCUUGCACAAUGGAGGAAACUCUGAUGCAGCGAUGCCGCGUGAGUGAAGAAGGCCUUUGGGUUGUAAAGCUCUUUUGUAGGGGAAGAUAAUGACUGUACCCUAAGAAUAAGGUCCGGCUAACUUCGUGCCAGCAGCCGCGGUAAUCUGAUGGCGCGAGG
Molecule: ribosomal RNA, 490 nt
Filed under: uncultured Pseudomonadota bacterium
Lineage: Bacteria; Pseudomonadati; Pseudomonadota
Description: bacterial SSU rRNA
Rfam family: Bacterial small subunit ribosomal RNA
Source: RNAcentral